RNAcentral lists this ribosomal RNA (443 nucleotides) under uncultured bacterium. Its description in RNAcentral is "bacterial SSU rRNA". It matches the Rfam family "Bacterial small subunit ribosomal RNA", at positions 70 to 527 of the family's 1533-position model. The record is from RNAcentral.
UCUUUCGGGUGAUUCUAAAGAAGGACAGCGGCGGACGGGUGAGUAACGCGUAGGCAACCUGCCCCAUACAUUGGGAUAGCCCUGGGAAACUGGGUGUAAUACCGAAUAACACUUUGGAAUGGCAUCUUUUCAAAGUCAAAACUCCGGUGGUAUGGGAUGGGCCUGCGUCUGAUUAGCUAGUUGGUAAGGUAAUGGCUUACCAAGGCGACGAUCAGUAGCCGACCUGAGAGGGUGAUCGGCCACACUGGAACUGAGACACGGUCCAGACUCCUACGGGAGGCAGCAGUGGGGAAUAUUGCACAAUGGGCGAAAGCCUGAUGCAGCAACGCCGCGUGAGUGAUGAAGGCUUUCGGGUCGUAAAACUCUGUCCUAAAGGAAGAAUAAUGACGGUACUUUAGGAGGAAGCCCCGGCUAACUAACGUGCCAGCAGCCGCGGUAAUACG